UGGGGAAUAUUGCACAAUGUGCGCAAGCCUGAUGCAGCCAUGCCGCGUGUGUGAAGAAGGCCUUCGGGUUGUAAAGCACUUUCAGCGGGGAGGAAGGCGAUAAGGUUAAUAACCUUGUCGAUUGACGUUACCGACAGAAGAAGCACCGGCUAACUCCGUGCCAGCAGCCGCGGUAAUACGGAGGGGUGCAAGCGUUAAUCGGAAUUACUGGGCGUAAAGCGCACGCAGGCGGUUGAUUGAGUCAGAUGUGAAAUCCCCGGGCUUAACCCGGGAAUUGCAUCUGAUACUGGUCAGCUAGAGUCUUGUAGAGGGGGGUAGAAUUCCAUGUGUAGCGGUGAAAUGCGUAGAGAUGUGGAGGAAUACCGGUGGCGAAGGCGGCCCCCUGGACAAAGACUGACGCUCAGGUGCGAAAGCGUGGGGAGCAAACAGG
This 430-nucleotide ribosomal RNA is filed under the name Chloroflexota bacterium. RNAcentral describes it as "Chloroflexi bacterium partial 16S ribosomal RNA". It matches the Rfam family "Bacterial small subunit ribosomal RNA", at positions 355 to 776 of the family's 1533-position model. The record is from RNAcentral. Lineage: Bacteria; Bacillati; Chloroflexota.